This 1450-nucleotide unclassified non-coding RNA is filed under the name Eurytemora carolleeae. RNAcentral's name for it is "uncharacterized LOC111698806". The record is from RNAcentral. Lineage: Eukaryota; Metazoa; Arthropoda; Copepoda; Calanoida; Temoridae.
AAAGUUGAUUUUAAUCGUUAUGUCUCAAGUUUAUGAACUUGAUAAAAGAGUAGUGCACCUAACUGCUGACAAAUCAAAUAUAAAAAAUAUGGAUCAUGCAUAAGCGUAGAGUUUAAACAAUCGAUCUAUAAUUAUAAAAUUAUAACAGUGACAAAAAUGGCUUCAGUGACAUAAAACAGUGGUUAUUACAUGAAUAUAAUGGAUAUGGCUGGGAAGCACUAGAAUAUCCAUACAUAUGUUGAAAAGUGUUGAAAUGAUUGGAAAUAUGGCUGGUUCUAACAAUAGUCUCCAGUAUGAAUAUAUUAUAGAAAACAUCUUGAAUCAGGAUCGGAAGGAUUUAAUGCUUGUCAAGUUUACAGUUCCAAUUAUUCUAGUUGGACUAUUCAUUAUAAUAAUAUUGAUAAUCUAUCUUAAAUGCGGGAAGAAACCCAAAAAAUGCACAGUAUUAAGACGGGAAUCUACCAAAUCAUUAAGAACGGAUGGCACUGUCAAAUCGAACUGGAGACAAGUCCGAACCCGAACCCUCCGAGACAGAAAGUUGCCUCCGAUACCGGAGGAGCAAACUCAAGGAGAUAAAGGAAGGAUGACCAGCCAAGGUUUCAAGCCUUCAGGGCAUAUUAUUGGAACAGCUACACCAGAGAGUCACGUGUAUGCUGAGAUAAAUGGAACAGUUGACAUUUCAGAAGAAACAGUUGAAAAUCUGAAUCAAACAGAGAUAGACCUGAGGUCGAAGUACCUGCAGGUACCUAAUGUACCCGAUGUUGUCCAGCACUACGUGAACCUACCUGACAUAGCUUCCGAUAGAGUCGCAGAGAAUGAUGAUAUUGGCACCUAUGUACCUUACACCUAUCCAUACCAACAUAAACCAGUACUUAACAGGGAUUCUACUGAACAGGAGGAAGGAUCUGAUUCCUGUAAACUGUACAGUUCUCCUAUACCUGAAUCCGCAGUUUCUGAAUCCUCAUCAAGUUCGAUAAUUCCUGAAUCUACCUCCAAAUCAAGUGAACAUUUUCCUGGUCCUGAAGAAUUACCAACUGAAUCCUAUUAUCUUAUUCCUAAUUCCACUAUUUCUGAAUCCACGUCUACUUUCCCUGAAUCCUUAUCAGCUACUGCUAUCCCUGAAUAUACAUCAAGAUCCGAAUCCAAUCGAAAUUCUCAGAUCCCUGAAUCGUCAUCAAGUCCUGUUACUGCAGAAUCCGCAUCACCUUCUUCAAUUCCUGAAUCCACAUUAACUUCUUCAAUUCCUGAAUCAGCCUCAAAUUCAGCAACGUUAACUUUAUCAUCAAAUCAUCAGAAGAAGAAACGAAAAAUAAGAACUCAAACAAGUCUGAGUUUGGAAAAGGAUCACAGUUAAGAGUUCUCCCUCGGCUUCGGGAAAGCAUCUCCUUAGAUAGUGGUUGCACAACAAACCUUUCUCCAGGCGCAGGAAGACGACAACUAAAACGAUUAA